Molecule: ribosomal RNA, 400 nt
Filed under: uncultured cyanobacterium
Lineage: Bacteria; Bacillati; Cyanobacteriota
Description: bacterial SSU rRNA
Rfam family: Bacterial small subunit ribosomal RNA
Source: RNAcentral
GGGGAAUUUUCCGCAAUGGGCGAAAGCCUGACGGAGCAACGCCGCGUGAGGGAUGAAGGCCUCUGGGCUGUAAACCCCUUUUCUCAAGGAAGAAGAUCUGACGGUACUUGAGGAAUAAGCCACGGCUAAUUCCGUGCCAGCAGCCGCGGUCAUACGUAGGGUCCAAGCGUUAUCCGGAAUUACUGGGCGUAAAGAGUUGCGUAGGUGGCAUUGUAAGCGAGUAGUGAAAGCGUUCGGCUCAACCGGAUAAACAUUACUCGAACUGCAAAGCUAGAGGAUGAGAGAGGUUAUUGGAAUUCCCUGUGUAGGAGUGAAAUCCGUAGAUAUAGGGAGGAACACCGAUGGCGUAGGCAGAUAACUGGCUCAUUCCUGACACUAAGGCACGAAAGCGUGGGGAGCG